UACGGAGGGUGCAAACGUUGCUCGGAAUCAUUGGGCGUAGAGCGCACGUAGGCGGCUUGUUAAGUCGGAUGUGAAAGCCCUGGGCUCAACCCAGGAAGUGCAUUCGAUACUGGCGAGCUUGAAUAUGGAAGAGGAUCGCGGAAUUCCCGGUGUAGAGGUGAAAUUCGUAGAUAUCGGGAGGAACACCAGUGGCGAAGGCGGCGAUCUGGGCCAAUAUUGACGCUGAGGUGCGAAAGCGUGGGGAG
This 245-nucleotide ribosomal RNA is filed under the name uncultured bacterium. RNAcentral describes it as "partial 16S ribosomal RNA". It matches the Rfam family "Bacterial small subunit ribosomal RNA", at positions 524 to 768 of the family's 1533-position model. The record is from RNAcentral.